AACGCUAGCGGCAGGCUUAACACAUGCAAGUCGAGGGGCAGCGCGGGAUAGCAAUAUCCGUGGCGGCGACCGGCGGAAGGGUGCGUAACGCGUGAGCGACAUGCCCGUUGCCCGGGGACAACCGGUGGAAACGCCGACUAAUCCCCGAUGGGAUACGAUGCUUCAUGGCAUUGUAUUGAAAGUUACGGCGGCGACGGAUUGGCUCGCGUCCGAUUAGCUGGUUGGCGGGGUAACGGCCCACCAAGGCUGCGAUCGGUAGGGGUUCUGAGAGGAAGGUCCCCCACACUGGUACUGAGACACGGACCAGACUCCUACGGGAGGCAGCAGUGAGGAAUAUUGGUCAAUGGGCGCAGGCCUGAACCAGCCAAGUCGCGUGAGGGAAGACGGUCCUACGGAUUGUAAACCUCUUUUGUCGGGGAGUAACGUGCGGGACGGGUCCCGUAUUGAGAGUACCCGAAGAAAAAGCAUCGGCUAACUCCGUG
RNAcentral lists this ribosomal RNA (482 nucleotides) under uncultured bacterium. RNAcentral's name for it is "bacterial SSU rRNA". It matches the Rfam family "Bacterial small subunit ribosomal RNA", at positions 32 to 507 of the family's 1533-position model. The record is from RNAcentral.